CUAAGUUUGAUGGCGACCGGCGCACGGGUGAGUAACACGUAUCCAACCUGCCGAUAACUCGGGGAUAGCCUUUCGAAAGAAAGAUUAAUACCCGAUGGCAUAAUAGAACCGCAUGGUUUGAUUAUUAAAGAAUUUCGGUUAUCGAUGGGGAUGCGUUCCAUUAGGCAGUUGGUGGGGUAACGGCCCACCAAACCUUCGAUGGAUAGGGGUUCUGAGAGGAAGGUCCCCCACAUUGGAACUGAGACACGGUCCAAACUCCUACGGGAGGCAGCAUG
This 275-nucleotide ribosomal RNA is filed under the name uncultured bacterium. RNAcentral describes it as "partial 16S ribosomal RNA". It matches the Rfam family "Bacterial small subunit ribosomal RNA", at positions 79 to 353 of the family's 1533-position model. The record is from RNAcentral.